RNAcentral lists this ribosomal RNA (480 nucleotides) under uncultured bacterium. Its description in RNAcentral is "bacterial SSU rRNA". It matches the Rfam family "Bacterial small subunit ribosomal RNA", at positions 28 to 490 of the family's 1533-position model. The record is from RNAcentral.
GACGAACGCUGGCGGCGUGCCUAAUACAUGCAAGUCGAGCGGACCAAAGGGAGCUUGCUCCUGGAGGUCAGCGGCGAACGGGUGAGUAACACGUGGGCAACCUGCCUGUAAGACUGGGAUAACAUCGAGAAAUCGGUGCUAAUACCGGAUAAUAAAAAGAACUGCAUGGUUCUUUUUUGAAAGAUGGUUUCGGCUAUCACUUACAGAUGGGCCCGCGGCGCAUUAGCUAGUUGGUGAGGUAACGGCUCACCAAGGCAACGAUGCGUAGCCGACCUGAGAGGGUGAUCGGCCACACUGGGACUGAGACACGGCCCAGACUCCUACGGGAGGCAGCAGUAGGGAAUCUUCCGCAAUGGACGAAAGUCUGACGGAGCAACGCCGCGUGAGUGAUGAAGGUUUUCGGAUCGUAAAACUCUGUUGUUAGGGAAGAACAAGUGCCGUUCGAAAGGGCGGCGACCUUGACGGUACCUAACGAGAAAG